GAUGAACGCUGGCGGCGUGCCUAAUACAUGCAAGUCGAGCGAACAGACGAGGAGCUUGCUCCUCUGACGUUAGCGGCGGACGGGUGAGUAACACGUGGAUAACCUACCUAUAAGACUGGGAUAACUUCGGGAAACCGGAGCUAAUACCGGAUAAUAUCUUGAACCGCAUGGUUCAAUAGUGAAAGACGGUUUUGCUGUCACUUAUAGAUGGAUCCGCGCCGCAUUAGCUAGUUGGUAAGGUAACGGCUUACCAAGGCAACGAUGCGUAGCCGACCUGAGAGGGUGAUCGGCCACACUGGAACUGAGACACGGUCCAGACUCCUACGGGAGGCAGCAGUAGGGAAUCUUCCGCAAUGGGCGAAAGCCUGACGGAGCAACGCCGCGUGAAUGAUGAAGGUCUUCGGAUCGUAAAACUCUGUUAUUAGGGAAGAACAAAUGUGUAAGUAACUAUGCACGUCUUGACGGUACCUAAUCAGAAAGCCACGGCUAACUACGUG
This 497-nucleotide ribosomal RNA is filed under the name uncultured bacterium. Its description in RNAcentral is "partial 16S ribosomal RNA". It matches the Rfam family "Bacterial small subunit ribosomal RNA", at positions 28 to 507 of the family's 1533-position model. The record is from RNAcentral.